GUCGAACGCUGGCGGCAUGCCUAAUACAUGCAAGUCGAGCGAACAGAUGAAGUGCUUGCACUUCUGACGUUAGCGGCGAACGGGUGAGUAACACGUAAGGAAUCUACCUAUAAGCGGGGGAUAACAUUCGGAAACGGGUGCUAAUACCGCAUAAUAUCUUCUUCCGCAUGGAAGAAGAUUGAAAGACGGCUCUGCUGUCACUUAUAGAUGACCUUGCGGUGCAUUAGUUAGUUGGUGGGGUAACGGCCUACCAAGACGAUGAUGCAUAGCCGACCUGAGAGGGUGAUCGGCCACAUUGGGACUGAGACACGGCCCAAACUCCUACGGGAGGCAGCAGUAGGGAAUCUUCCGCAAUGGGCGAAAGCCUGACGGAGCAAUGCCGCGUGAGUGAAGAAGGCCUUCGGGUCGUAAAACUCUGUUAUAAGAGAAGAACAAAUUGUAGAGUAACUGCUACAGUCUUGACGGUAUCUUAUCAGAAAGCCACGGCUAACUACGUG
This 497-nucleotide ribosomal RNA is filed under the name uncultured bacterium. RNAcentral describes it as "partial 16S ribosomal RNA". It matches the Rfam family "Bacterial small subunit ribosomal RNA", at positions 28 to 507 of the family's 1533-position model. The record is from RNAcentral.